GAGUGGCCUUCCAGUGCCUACAGAUGCAAUAUUUUAUGCUGGAACAGGUAACUUGUUGUGUCGAUCAGAGGAUAGAGUAGUUAUAUUUGAUCUCCAGCAGAGGCUUGUUCUUGGUGAUCUUCAAACCCCUUUGGUGAAAUAUGUUGUUUGGUCUAAUGACAUGGAGAAUGUUGCUUUACUCAGCAAGCAUACGAUUGUCAUAACUAACAAGAAGCUUGUUCACCGGUGCACUCUUCAUGAGACAAUACGUGUAAAGAGUGGAGCCUGGGAUGACAAUGGUAUUUUUAUCUACUCCACCCUCAACCAUAUAAAAUACUGCCUCCCGAAUGGAGAUUGUGGAAUAAUUCGAACGCUUGAGGUUCCAAUAUACAUAACAAAGGUUUCUGGAAAUACUAUAUUUUGCUUGGAUCGUGAUGGGAAGAAUAAGGC
This 429-nucleotide long non-coding RNA is filed under the name Gossypium barbadense (sea-island cotton). RNAcentral describes it as "long non-coding RNA (GBAR_LNC015844)". The record is from RNAcentral. Lineage: Eukaryota; Viridiplantae; Streptophyta; Magnoliopsida; Malvales; Malvaceae.